GGGCGGUCCCGCUGCCGGAAGAGAGAGGGCCCCCGGACUCUGGAGGGCUGUGGGUGGGCGGCGGCAGCAGCAACAGCAGUAGCAGCAGUGGGGUUCGCUGAUUCCGAAGCUGUCACCUGCCUGCGGUGUUAUUUACAACAACAAAGCUGAUUAACACAAAAGAAGCCGGGGAAAAGCCGGAGAGACCAGAAACAAUUUCGAUUUUUGUUUCUCUGGACAACAGACACAGAGAGACCCCGGAAGAGGAAUUGUAUUUCCUUCUCUGUAGUAUCUGGCAGAUGAAUUUAUCAGGAAAAAAAAAAAAAUGGCCACUUGGCCUAGAAGGCCAGGAGGGAUUGAAAAUGGCUUCCUGCCAUUAGCUCCAGCUCCGGAAGAACGCAUGCGCCAAUUAGAGCAUCAAAGCCCUCUCUGCAGAGCUCGUUUCCAUAAAAUGGAGCGGAUCGCAAACAAUAACAGUUCUCCAGAAACUGCCUCCCUGCUACAGGACUCAACCCCCAAGCCCAUACACUGGCUCACACUAUACCCGAAUCCACUACUGCCACUGCUAUCAUUUCCUUUGCAUGUAAUUCUGGGGGGGGGGGUAUGGAUAGUGGGUUCUCUUAUGUACUGAUGUUAUUUUUAACGUAAUGCUACUGUAAUUGAGUUUCUGGCACUGAACACUCGCUUAUUAUUUAACAAUUAUAGUAUCGUCCUCAACGCCAUUAACAAAUGCUUCAUAGGAUUCUUUCUCAAAUUUACGGGUUUAAACUUUUUUUAGUUACUUAUAAGCUGGAGCUCGAGUCCAAUUGUAAUGUAUCUCCUCAAGUGCAAGAUGUAAAUAACACAAAAUGCCUUCUUGAAAUAGAAAUGGCAGUUUUGAAAUCUA
Molecule: long non-coding RNA, 865 nt
Organism: Felis catus (domestic cat)
Lineage: Eukaryota; Metazoa; Chordata; Mammalia; Carnivora; Felidae
Exons: 4
Source: RefSeq, a predicted model, not a curated record